UGCAGCUAAGGCUGGGACAUGCAGACCCUCCAUAAAAUCAAAGCAGAUUUGUGUUUGGCUGGCUGACAUGGCAUGGAGCUGAGCCCUGCCUGGUCUCCCAAGGCUGGACGGGGGAGACCCAGACUUGGAACAGGACCCACCUACCAGAAAGGGAGCAGGAGCUCCAGGCACGCUCAGCUUCUGGUGCUUGGAGAAGCUUCAGUCUGGCAGGAAAGCUUGUGUCUGUGGGGACCACAGUGAUGGUGGGAAACAGAAUGUGUGGGGACAGCUGCAACAAGUCUCACCUUGUCAGAGGGGAGCUGUCAACUUUGGCAGAUGCAUUUGGGCUCAGCUCACAACUCCUCGCUCCAGGACCCAAGCAGUCAGAGCAGCAACCUUCUUGAACACUGCCGGUUGCCAUGGCAGGAGAAAAGAAACAACUCUGAAGAGUAUUGCAUUGGCAAUUAAAUGCUUUGAUUUGAAAGUGGC
Molecule: long non-coding RNA, 468 nt
Filed under: Equus caballus (horse)
Lineage: Eukaryota; Metazoa; Chordata; Mammalia; Perissodactyla; Equidae
Description: lncRNA (ENSECAG00000052157.1)
Source: RNAcentral